RNAcentral lists this transfer-messenger RNA (416 nucleotides) under Candidatus Zambryskibacteria bacterium RIFCSPHIGHO2_01_FULL_35_32. It matches the Rfam family "transfer-messenger RNA". From Rfam's summary of the family: Bacterial tmRNA, also known as 10Sa RNA or SsrA, is named for its dual tRNA and mRNA-like properties. Its role is to liberate the mRNA from a stalled ribosome. To accomplish this part of the tmRNA is used as a reading frame that ends in a translation stop signal. Lineage: Bacteria; Candidatus Zambryskiibacteriota. The record is from RNAcentral. RNAcentral also lists the same sequence under 2 other names.
GGGGAUGAUCGGCCUAGACAAUAAGAUACAUUUGUAAAAUGCGAGAGAGAGCUACAGUACACUCUUAAAACUGCUAUAAAAGAUAACUGCAAACAAAGUUGUCGCAAAAGCAAAAACCGUUGUUUCUCCAUAUUUUGGAGUGGGUGAUUUUGCUUUCGCUUACGUUAGGGCUUAAUUUUAAGUCUCGCUAAGCGACGUCAGAUUCUUUGAUGUCUCAUAAAAGAAAUCUGGUGUAAUAAAUUUGAGACUUUGAAAAAUAGUUGCUUCGCUAUUUUUUCUAAAUGUUGAAGCUCGAUAUUUUAAGAUCUUGUUUGUUCCAUACUUAAAAUAUUUAAACAAACUGCAACAAACUAACUCUUGUAGAAAUUUUCCAAAUCUCUUAUUGCAUGGCGGUUCGAUUCCGCCCAUCUCCACAA